Passer montanus (Eurasian tree sparrow) is the source of this 24258-nucleotide long non-coding RNA. RefSeq lists it as uncharacterized. The record is from RefSeq and is a predicted model, not a curated record. NCBI's taxonomy places the organism in Eukaryota, Metazoa, Chordata, Aves, Passeriformes, Passeridae. The transcript has 4 exons.
ACGAAAAGGAAAAAAAAAAGCCAACCGCAAACAACUACAGGCUGGACUAUCAACACAUGCACCGAAGGGGAAAAAAUAUAUAGUGUCCUGUGUAGGGUCGGCAGGGAACGCAAGCACACGCUAAAGCAAGUUGGGAAAGAAUCCGAGCUAAUCAGCAAUCUCUUUCUCUCUCUCUCCUUCUCUCCCUCUCCCCCUCUCUCUCUCUCUCUCACUGCCCCUGAGAUCCCAGCUCGAAAGAGGUACUCCACAUUUUUUCAUUACCAAAAAUCCGUUGCAAUAAUCAUUUGUUGCUAAUUGAAACCCUUGGAGACAUUUUUCCCCACCCCCUUCACAAACAUGGCAACUUUUAGUAAUGGGAAGCACGUUUAGUUUUAUUUUAUUAAAAAAAAAAUACGGUUAGGAAAAGGCUGAAUCUUUCACCCACGAGAAAUAUCAGCGAGUCAGCCCCCUUCCCCGGGAUGGGAGGGGGGAGUGGGGGGAACGGGACCCCGGUACAGUGAGGGCUUGGGAAAAUUUGGAAUACAUUAUACCGCCUUUGGCAGGAGAAUACUCUCCAACUAAUGGAUUCCUGCUCCUUUUUGUGUGUGUGUGUGUAUCAGUGUGGGGGGUUUCUGGAAAGAGGGGUGGUGGUCGUGGUGGUGGGGAGCCGAGCUUUUAUUUUAAGAAACUGUUAGGGUAGGGAGUGUGUCAUACUUGACAAAUGGAACAAACGCUCUUCCAUUUCUUGCUUGUCCUUGCCUUAAAACAGGAAUUAAGUUAACCACAGUGCUGCAUGUUAAUUGCAUGUUUACUGGGCUAAUGAAAAUUACAAAAGGGUUUUGCCACCUCGAUCGGUGAUGAAAAAGUAUGAAGGCGAUUGUCAUUGCAGCCUUCGGGGAGGGCCCGGGGGGUGGGGGGGAAGGACCGGGCACGAACAAUAUUGAUCAGAAGAAGGAUAAAUCUUUUAACUGCUUGUUAAUACCAUAAAUAUGGUCUACACAAGUUUCCACUCUUGUUAAGUCUAAUCAGUACAUGGAAGAUGGAGACAUAGCCCACUUGAAUGAAUUUUUAUUAUUGCCAGAGGGGUACUUGCAUCUGUGGGCUCCCUCCCCUCCUCAAUUUGAGCACCCCCCUGCCCCCCCUUCCAAAAUCCCCCCUUGCACAGGAGGAUCGUGAAGGUGUGCAGAAAGCACAGGAGACAAAUCCAAGCUUUUUGUCCUUUCUUCAUUUUCCCAAAAGCUCCUUUAUUUUGUAAAGCUGAACGGGUCAUGGCGGGGAAAGCCUAAAGGGGGGGACACCCCUGCCAGACCCCCCCUGGCCCCCCCUUUUAUUCUUGAGAUCUCUGGAUGAAAGGCUGACCCAGUAAUUCAGUUUGAUGAUAACCAUUUUCAUGCUUGAAAACAAUCUGCCAAAUUAAACCUAAAUGGAAAGAGCAGUGGGAAAGGUAGUGAGAGCAGGGCGUUUUGAAAUCCCCCCCACCUCUCCGAAAGGGAUUAUUUGGCCAAAGGAGGAGGGAAAGGCAAUUAAAUAGACUAAAGAUGAUUUAAAUCCUAACCAAAAAUAAUUCCAGGGAGAAGUUUGCCCCCUCCGGUGUUGCCCAGCCCUGGAUUUGAAAACUUUGGCCCAACUUGUGGCAAUAGCUACAACUUUGCUCCGCAGGGGUCAGAGGUGAGGGCUAUUUUAACCCUAAAAGCCUGCGAGUGACCAAGGUUGCGGCUGGGCUCGCAGCACUAAUAGCCAUAAUUACCUCCUCCCCUUCCAGGGACAUUCCUCGCAGCAGCAGUGUUAGAAGCCGAAUUGAAGAAAAUCCUGGAGUUGAACAUAUCUUCGGGGGUAAAUAACAGCAAUAUGAAGGAAUUUCAGAGCUCUCCCUUUCGCUUGGGGGGAUUGAAGCUUUUUUCCUUUUUUUUCCCCCUCUUUUUUUUCCUUUUUUCCUCCUUCCCCCCCCCUCCCCCCCCGCCUUGCCAGCAUUCCCAAGGCGCUGGGUCUUUGUCUUAGAAGGAAUGGAGUGUCUGAAUGGUGUGAAAGGGACAGAGAGGGUUGCUUCAAAUCGAUUUUACUUGUCCUCUCUGUCUUUUCGGAUCAACGCCCUUCAAUGGACACAUAGGUGCUCUUUCAACCAAAAACUUGUGCAACAUUUUCUGCCUGUAUUGGUGCUAAAUACAAUAAAUGCUGGGCAGAUUUUUUUUUCUUUCUUUCCAAAGCAGAAAGCACCCUAAUUAAAUUGUUUUAUAUGGACAGUCAAGACAGACCAAUUAAGUAUGCAUUAGUAUAAAGAUAUAUUCGAGAGAUAAGCGCUCUAUAGGAGCCCUGUCUGGGCAAGGUGUGGAAACUGUCCUCUCGAAGAGAGCCUGUGAGCAGGGUUUCAUAUGGAUUUUUCCCCUCCAUUGCCUCCUAUACUCGAGUAACGGGCUGAAUAAGUUAGAGAAAAGCCAUUAGUGAAAGUGGUUUCUAAACAAAGUUAACAGGUGGAUGUAGCUGGUUUUACAUUUGAAUAACAGUCGCACAUCUGUAAUACACAGCCCCGGAUUUGUGCAGCGCCUGUGCAGGCAAUGUCCAUUUGCAGAGACAAACGCCUUCGACCUAGAGCUGAGGUGCAAACGCACACGCACGGGGAUAAAAUAAAUAUCUGGGCACCUCUGUGAGCUGCAGGACACGAUGUGAGCGAGCACACAGAGACGAUGCAGAUAUCACUGUGUGGCCAUUGUGUGGAGGCACCCAGGCUGCCUCGGACAGGCACCCACAGCAGGCACUGCUGCCUCGGACACCUCAGCGGGCACAGCACACUCCUGGGGUAAUUGCAAGGGGAGGUAUUGGCUUUCCCAGGAGUGAAAUAGCAGAUCAGGAUAAAACACACACAAACACACGCGAACUUCUCUGGCUGCCCAUUUUAUCACUCUGGGAAAGCUCUCGUUAUGGUUAACCACAGGAAACGGGCUUUAAGCUCUUCUCCAUUCCCAUUAUUAUUAUUAUUAUUAUUUUCCUUCACUGAAGCUUUUCCAUGUCGUUCCAAAAAACCACCCCAAACAAAAAAGACCCAGACAAACAAACAAAAAUCCCACAGAGCCCCCAGCAGCCCUGCCUCAGCCUGGUCCUGGGGCAGGCAGAGCCGCGGGAUGCGAUGAAGAGGAGGGGAGAGGCGGGCUGGGAGUUGCUGGGGCACCCUCCAUCCCUGGGCACAUCUUUGGCACCGGCUGAGGCUGAGCUGGGGGAGCCAGCCCUGUGCCCGAAGAUGCUGCAGGGUGGCUGCGAGCGGGGAAUCGCCCUUUCAGUGCCGUGACACUGCAGCGCAGAGAGCGGCCGGGGUUUUAUGGAGGGGUCGGGGAAGAGGGGAUCGAGGGGUUCAGGGAUGCAGGGCAGCGCUGCGGGGGCUGCCCGCUUGGAUCCCCAUUUUCCAGCAGCGCCCUGCGUGUGUCAGCCCAUCCCAGGGAUGUGGGAGACGGGGAUGAAUAAGGCAUUCCUCGCUUAGGUGCUUUAAUGGCACGGUAAACAGGUUAGAAACAGACGUUUUUAGAGACUCAGUUUUUCUUUAUUGGUCACCUUCGAGGAUAAAUCAUAACAGACAGUAUGGGGGGCAAAGAAUUCAUCUAAAGGAGAUCUCAGCAAGUCACUACCCGGACAAUAGUCCACCUCCUGUUGGGUUGCGUAUUGAUCAGGAGAGGAGCUGAGGAUGUCGCCACACUAAAUAUUUACUGAUCACACACAAAUAGCCGCGACUUGAACGAUUUUCUCCUGUGAGGAGAGCAGAGAGAGAAGGGUAAAUCAUUUUAUUAGUGUGUAUAAAGCAAAGAGCACACUCUGGCUUGGAGUGUUUUAAAAUGUGUCUUCAGCUGGAUGAAAAGAGUUAGGGAAAUCGAUAUGGAGUGAUUAGACGAACCAGUCGUGUCAAAGAGAGAGGCUGUGAAUUUCAUGGAUUUGGUUAUACCGGGAGGGGGAAAAUAUACCGAGAGAUUAAAGGGAGGAACCCAUUGUAGCAGAGCCAAUGAAAAAAUAAUAUCUAAUCAGAGCCGGCAAAGGUAGGGACGGGAUAAGACCCACAUUUCUAAAGAAUCACAUCAGCUGGAGAGGGAUCAGGGACACAGAUGAAAGAGGCAAACGGGGGGAGAGCUGGAGAGUAGGAGCCUAGAAAUGCUACAGAGCAAAUCCAGGAGAGGCAGAGAAAAGUCGCCUCUGUGGAGCAAAGCUGAGAUACCACGAAAAUGGGGACAAAAGGCUCAGGAGCGAGGGAGAGGGCUGGAGUGAUCGGGCGCCUGCCUUGGAGGUGAAGUUGAGGGGUGCCCAGCCCGUGUACCCACCAGGCAGAGAGGGCUCUGACAGCACAUCCAGCUCCCAUCCGAGGGGUUUAAAUCCUUCUCCUACAAGUUUGUCCUCCCCUCUCCUUCCCGCCCCCCUCCCUCCCCACAAGCAAAUGUGGUGAGUAAAAUGGAUUUUAGCGUUUAACCACCUCAUUUUAUCCACGUAAUGACAAGGCUCGUAAUAUGUAAUCUACAGAUUACUGCCAUUCGAGGGUGACCACAAGUGGCAUAGGAAAAAAUUUAAAAAAACAAAAAAAAUUUCAGCAUUUCUGCAAAUGACAAAAUGGCUAAAACCAGCCCUUGCUUUAAGUAUUGAAGCUGGGGAGUUGCUGCUGCAGGAUUUUAUCGGUUGUAGGGAGCAAUUUAGCCGUGGCUCAGGUACAGCCCUGGGGUGUCUCGGCGGAUUAAAGAAAACUUUGCUGGAGACAAGCAAAUAUCUGAGUGCCAAAGGGCAGAAAGCUGGGACUAGGGCAGGGCUCUGCCAUGCGACAUUGAAAUACGUUCUGUGGGGAUGCUCGGGAUUAUGAUUAUUAUUUUUUUGCCUCGAAUCCGUGAUGUUUGGCCCGUGUUCACAUGCUACCUUCUCUCCGCGUAGUUUUCUUUAGCAGAAAAUAGGAUGCGACUGCAGAGAACUAAGUCAAAGCAGCGAGAGAAAGUUUGUACCGCACUUUAAAUGAUGCUGAUUGCUGGGAGGGAGGAAAGGCAUCUCAAGCUAGGAACCGAGGAGUAAAACUGAUGUGAAAACAGCUUUUCACUUCUCCUCCAAGUGCUAAUUUUGCUACUGUAAACAAACACUGAAGUUAGAAACAGCUGCAAAUAGCCUGCCGGGCACCCAGGGCUCAGGGACCGGAGGGGGUUGACUUUUGUUCAUCUCUCGGGCUGAAUUUUCCCCCAGCUUUUCUUUUUUUUUAACCCCGAAAUCAGGGGCUGAUGCUGAUUUCAGUCGUGGAGAAGGGACAGAAAGUUAGGCACACUAAGAACAUUUCAUGCGAGCCUAUGGAGUGCAGGCAGCUCGGCUGGAUCUCUAAUGCAACAGGAAACCUCGGGACAGACUCAGCCUAAUUAACAGUUUUCCAUAGCUGAAGCGAUUUUUAAGAAUCCCAGUGGAUUAGCCCAAUAUGUUCAGGUGUGAGGCUACGAGGGCCUAUAACUCCUUUCACUAUAAUCUUAUAACCUCCUUACCUAAUUCCUUAGAUUGCAGAUAGGAAGAGUCUGACCCUGGAGGUCGUAAAGAGCUGGGUUUCAUUAACCCUUCCCUCCCCGGCGCCGCUCCAAGGUUAACUGCGCCGGGCUGUGUGCUCGGGGGAGCGAGGGAGGGCGGCCGGGAGAAAGGGAUUUGCAAGAGGGGUCGAUCCGCCGGGAGGGCAAAGCUUAAAAUGAUUUUUGCUCCCUUCAUUCCCUCCCUUCAGUCAAAGGAAAGAUGGAAAUGGGGAACUUUUCUGUUUCCUAUGCAUCCGGAGGUGUAUAAAUGUACGGAUGUUUGUGAGGGAAUUCAUUCCCUUCACAACAUUUCAUUAUUGUUUAUUAUUUUUAAUUUUUUUUUUUUGUUCCAAACGUGGAGGAAAUGAAACAUUCUAGAACCAUCAGCAAAAAGCAAAGCAAUCUCCAUCUUUAGGACCAGCACCAAUCUCUUGAGCUUCUUGUCCACAGCAGAGCUGUAAUCUUUAAAGGAAAAAAAAAAAUUCUAGAGAAGCUUCUCAGACUGUAUUUGCCUGGGAACACACCUGGUUUAUAUUUUAAUAGGUAGUUACAUUGUAUUGAUUCAGGGUACAUCAUUGAUGUUGAAAGUUAAUAACUCUCAAAUUAUAUCUAUCUGCCUACAUACAUAAUUGCAUACACAGUGUAACACUGGAGGAAUUUGCAUUUUGCAGCACAUUCUUUGUUCUUAAAUCUUUUAACACACUGAGUUGUUCCUUUGAAGAAAAUGUUAUUGAACCACAUGUUUAAGGAAAAGAUGCUUCUAAACUAUAUGUUUAAGCAAUGAAAUUGUUGAGUGAAAUACAGAUUUCUUUGUAUCUCACACAAACCUUGCCACACGCCAAUCUUAACCUACACAUCGAACUGCCUUUUUUUUCUUUCUUUCUUUUUUUUCCCCCUCCCAGUUAGAAGGCAGAAAUAUGUGAACUGCUGAGAGAGGUGGGUACUUUUUGGUAAGUAUGUUUAGAUAUGAUCUUCAGAUACAUUUAUUGUACUUUCAAAUUCUUGGGAUACUAAUUGAGCUAGCAAACAAUAUCCCAGCUGAAUGUCUCAGCUUCUUCCCUAUUUAACAGGCUUUAAUGUAGAAGUAUAUUGUAGCCAUCCUUCUACUAAACAAUGUAGCUGAGGAGUCAGCAAAAAAUAAAAAAAACAUGUUAAAACCAAAUUAUAAUUGCUGCCUUAUAUCUGACUCUUCUUCCUUUCUGCAGUCCUAAUGAACUCUUUAAAGUUUUAUUUAUUUAUUUUUUUAUUUCUGAGUGACAGAUCAAAAAUAAUUAGCAGAAUCAGAAGCAGCCGGGAAGCUUGAAAUAAUGUGUCUAAAUAUUUCAUAUUGCUACUUAUAAUACCAGCCCUUCAGCUGUAAAAAGGAACCAUUCCCUAUUUAUUCUGUGGUGGUUUAUAAAUACAGAAGGAUAGAUUCUUUUUUUUUCCCAGGGCCUGCCUCAACGAUGCCAUAAAUAGAGAUUGAGCUAUCAGGAGGAAAAAAAUAAAAAAGAAUAAAAUAAAAGCAAAGCCCUGGACAGGAAUAGAGACAGACAGAUAAAUGUAUAACUGCAUCUGAACAAUGUUACGUAGCACAUUCGGAGUUGGUAAAAAAAAAAAUUAAAUCUAUCGCAUAUUUAUAACCUCAUAAUUAAAAUACAUUCUUAUCUCUCUCCUCUGAAAGGUUGCAGCUUUCUUGGAAGUAUUUUGAGUGCAUAUUUUAAACUCCAUGUCUCGAACUGAAUUAAGAUGAGCUGUUUUGCCCAAGAGUAAAACCUUUGUUUACAAUUUAAUAUUUAACUUUCAGCUGCCUACCCAUUGCCAUAUCAUUUUCUUUAGAUUUCACCUCCUUACAUUUGCAGGCUUUAUUUAAAAUGAUGUUAGUUUAUAUCAAAUCCUAAUUUCUUAUCGAAAGAAAUGAGUUGAUAUAAUCCAAAACAGUCGUCCUGGUCUGACGGAGGUAAAUUGGAUGAGAAUCUUUCACAUUCAAAGGGUUAAAGCUAAAGCAAAAACUUUAAAGCAAAGAGAUACCAGCAAACAGUGAAAAAUAGUACAUCUGCUCUCUCUUGACAAGCUUGCAUUAUAUCACAUGUAAGGAAGCCCAAAUUUUUGAAUCUAAGACCAGUUUUAGUUUUUAAUAGGAAAUAAUUACAUGGAACUUUAUUUCCAGAGAGAAUGUCCCUUCCAGCUACAGUGUUUUGCUUUGAUCUAAGUAUUAACUGGUAAUAAAAUAACCAUAUUUUGGAUCCUAAGCAUAUUGAUGCUUAGAGGAAUGUUAUGCUUUCAAUCAAAUUUUAACUUUAGAUUAUCCGAAGGUAUUCAUCCUUCUUUUGUCAGAAACCAAUUUGCUCUCUUACUCCUACAGCUACUCACAUGUGGUUUGGUACACUUUGUUAUUUUAUAGUGGAAUUUGCACUGUUGAGGUGGAAAACUUUUAGAUGGAAUGAGAUCAUGUUCCAGCCUGGCAAUUUGGGCUGUUUCUCAUACAGAUCCCCAGCCCAGCCCUUCUUUACACUUGUUGUGCACCACCACCAUUGCUCACCUCUGAGGGCGACCACCGCCUCAGGAUUUUGUUUUAAAUAUUCAGAUUUUAAAAUUUAUUUAUUUAUUUAUUUUUAACCUGGAAAAUCAAUCAUUUGGACCCAUCCUGAACAAUUAACCUCCCCUUUAUAUUAUAGCCCCAAGUGCAGUACUUCAUAAAGACAUGAAAAGGACAUCCCAGUCAGCAGGACCCGAGCCCAGGCUUGUCACAGAGUAUAAAGGGAGAGAGAAGGGGAGUUUUUAUCUCUUUGCCCCGCCAAUUCUUAAUAGUUCUAAGUUUCAGUGUGACAAUAAAACAGUUUUGAUAACAUAGCUCAUGGGUUUCUCUGCCACAUAAAGUUUUCUUAAUAAUAAAAAAGAAGAAACUUUAUCCCUGCUAAAUUAAAAUAGGGCAGAUGUUGGAUAUGGUUCAUAUUAGGCAGCCUUUCACCCCUUUGCCCCUGGCACUAAAGUUCUGACUUUUUCUUUCUACUAUGUCUGUUUCUAACUGAAAGGUAUUAUUCCUGCCCUGGCUCUCUUCUUCUAUUUAUUUUUUCAGUGUCUAAAAUUAAACCUAUUCAUUUAGUAAUAUACAUUCUAUUUCACAUUGCUAAACCUGGCCAGAGAGGGGAAACGCUUUCCAAAAAAGUGAUGCACCACUGACCUUAAAAGAAAACAUGAAGCAGGCAAAGCUGUUCUUAAAAGGUUUAUUUCUAGAGAAUUUUGUAGCUCUGUUGACAUUAUAGGGAUAAUGGCUGUAUUGCAAUGGGCUUUCAAGGCCCAAGAGGUUUAUGUUUUCUUCUGACCGUAAGUCUAAUAAAAUUUUAAAGGUGCACAAAGUCUCAUCACUUUAGAUAUUUAAAACUAGUUUGAAAAAUCUCUUGGGAGACAUAUAUUAUAGUGGAUAGCCCCACUGAGAAAGCAGGGGAUAGACAAAAAAAUACCCUGAGUCCAAACCCAAAUAAACCCCCCCAGUUUUUUUCAUGCUAGCUCUAUGAAAAUCCUGGCUAUUAAACUCCCAAGGAUAGUACAGCUAUUUUCUGCAGGGCUCUGCAGAUAGAAUUUAUUGUCCAUUUGGAAUGAUCAAGUUUAGGCUAAUAAAAGGCCCUCUGUAAGCAGAAAUGCCCAAGUUGAUGUUUGGCAGAGUUUUCAAUGGUGGAGUUUAUACAGGAUAGGGGCUCUGCACUAUUUGAAAUAACUCCUAUCCCAGCAGCUGAGGAUGAUCUGACACACAAGUAAACGUUAGCAGGCAGUGACUGAAGGUUAAUCAGCACUGCUCUCUGAGCUGGGUGCUUGAAAGCAGGAAAAAGUGAAAGCUGCUUUCUCUAGCCCUUCCCUAUGCUAAGGUGCUGCUAACUUUUAUGAUUUUUUCCCCCCUUCCUCUUUUACUAUCUGUCUUUGUGCCUGAGGGCCAGUGAAAGAACACUGCAGAUUCUAGAUUGCUUUCAGAGUUUCCCUUUGCUGAUGAUGGAUUACCAUGUCAAUUUAAACGGCAUAGGAUUAAUUUGUUUCAAUGAUUUCUCUUUAGGCUGAAUGCCAGUCUUUUUUUCUAUCUCUCUCCUUGCUCUUCAGAAAAAAAUAAUAACAAUAAUAAUAAUAAAUCCUUAAACCCCCCAAACACUUUUGAGAUCCCAUGUUAAAAAGACAAUAAUAGAAAUAGACAAGUUAGGUGUAAUGUUGCAACACAGUUGUAGGUUUGAGUGUUUUUAUCUCGUUCUGAGGGGCUGCAGCAUACAGUCAGUCACAUUAAAAUGAAAUUGGAUCCAACGUUUAUUCAAUAAAUACUUGUCUUGUAGGUAAUCCAGAACAGAGUGCUUUUGACACAUAAGGACUUAAUUUGUCUUGGAUAACAAGUUAUUAAUAUGGCACAUUUAAACUUGCCACCUACAAUAAGGUCAUUUAGAUCUAUAAUACGACUCACGAGAGAACUUCAUAAAGCCAGAAACAAAGUUUGAAACUGCCUCUGAGGCGCGGAGCAGACGCACGGCUCACGGUUUGCUCUUUUCAGAAAGUUCAGAGCAAGUAGGAGCCACCCAAACCCAAAUGGUGUGCAUCUGCUCCUCUUUGAAAGGCAAACGUAAAUGGAGUAAGGAGGGGAGAGGGGAAAAAAAAAAAAAAAAGAGGAACCCAAACACACAUUUUUGAAUGAGUAAGCUUUAAAGCUGUGCUGCGUCUGCUCGCAAACUCAUUGCAGCUUUGAAAGUGAAAAAACAACAUUUGGUUCAGAGUGGAAAUUCGCCUGCAUUUGCACCCUACCUCUUCCAUGUGCUUCACAAUUUACUCGCUUUUAAUAAUAAGUGAGGAAGUUGGAACAUAAUCCACCCAUAAAUGUUACUGCUGUAAUUUGACUGCUCUGUGUUUGUUCAUGCAUUAGUUGUCUAUGUAGAGCGAAGUGGGGAUGGAUGCUGGGGAUCCCCGUGCAGCACGAACAAACAGAGCUGUUUGGGAUUUCAACACCCAAACAUCCUGCAGUUGUUUUCAGCUUUAGUUUCAGACCUGUCCUAACCCAGUGGUGCCUGCAAGAGGUGCAUCAGGAGGGGAAUAUUGUGGGAAUGCUGCUCGGGAUGUGUUUGGUGAGUGGCAAUUCGGUCUCCACGCUGUGUCCCUGAGCUUUGUUAUUCUGCUUUUCUGUACUGAGCUCCUGGUUGCUCUUGUCCUGGCAGAUUCUGUCUCUUUAAGUAACUAAAUCUCAUUUUUAAGCUAUUCCUGGGAAAAGGAUGUUACACAUGAGUAGAAAAAUGCAGGCAAGAAAGGCUAAUUGAAUGAAAAGGGAGAAUUAGGUUAAAAAUAGAGUACAAUCUAGUAUCACAUUUUCACUAGUGUAACCUGAAAUGAAGGUGUCUCCAAGUCCCCAGUGAUGCCAGAGUGUUUAGAUGUUGGGCACAGAUGGAGACACCUAUUGAAAUGUGUCUGAAGAAGAUUAAUAGGACUUGUCAGUGUUGGGAAAGCACUGCUUUGCUGUAAAUUUCUACUAGCACAAGAUGAAUUACCGAUGAAUGCUCAGUUAUCAACCCCAUCACUAUCAUUGGACACUAAAUCAAAUUGAGCAGUUAUCUACAAUCAGAAAAUUUCUUUUAAAAGUAGGCAUGCACCUUUAGGCUUAAACUCUUUAAUAAGACAAUAUCCUCGAUGGUAUGUGUGUGUUCACUAAAGGAUAUGAUUAAAAGUUUCUGUACAAAAAGCUUCUGUUCAGAAAUGAACUCCAAGUUCAGUGUGAAAUGAGGGUUGUCAAACAAUAGAAGAUACUCAGGAAAUGCUGGUUAUAUAGUACAGAGUUCUGAUGGGUUCUGAUCCAAAAUGGAUUUUCAUGAGUGUCUUUAGAUUUUGGACCCAUCCCUAUUUAUGAGAGGUUUUUUCAAUCUCUGCUCUCCCCUUAUUUAUGGUCAUGAUAUACCCACCCCUUCUCUCUACCUGAAAGACUGAGCAUCCAAAUCAUACAUUAAUGCAAAACAGCCAUCAUGACUCAGGAUAUAUGUAUAAUAAUGUUACCACCCCCCAACAUAUUUAGGAAAUAACAACUUAAUAUAAUGAACUACGUGAUGAAAGAGUCAGUGAAUAAUAUUUUAGCUGAGAAUAUUUCUUUCUCUCCUUUAUGAAAGGGGAAACUGUCACAAGCAAAACUACCACAAGCAUAUACCAGCCCACUCCUGAAGAAUAUUAUCUGCAUUUACAAUCUGAUGCUGCUGAAGACAAUGAUAUUAAAUAAGCUUUACAUACUUUUAGUUUCUAGGAUUUCUUUCCCUCUCACCCAGACACUGCGUACUAUAUCCAAGGAGAUUUAUCAUCAUGUGUUUUCCAAAGUCAAUUUUUCCCUUUUUUUAGAGACAAGGGCAGUCAUUUGUGUUUAGGGGAGGGAGACAGGUACAGAGCCUUUAUCUGAUCUGCGUCCCCAGCCACCACCACUUUCUUAAUCGAUGGCAGAUCCCCACUCCGGAGGAUCUGGCCCUAUCUGGGUUACUUCUUAGCCAAGGAUUGUUUCCUUCCCUUCAUCUCCUCAUGUCUCACCUGUGGUGCAUGUUGCUUUUUGAGAAGGGAAUAAUACACUGUUUACCACACAGCCCAGUUUCAAAGCCUUUGUGCGUUUCUCAUCUCCAGCCAAAGCUUAUUAUUUACCACCCUAAAAAUUCACCAGGGUAAGGGAUAGCAGAAGUUGUUUUCUUCAUUUUUACACCCCAAUUUUCACACAGCAAAUGCCCUGCAUUAGGACCAGAUCCCACUCAGAUGGAAGUUAUUAACUUUCAGCAGAAUGGGGAUGAUUUCAGCCAGCCACAGCCUGUGCCCUUCGAGCACAGUCGCUUUGCAGCAUCCCUGUGUUUAUUUUUUUUCUUUGGAGGGCAUGAUUCUUUAAACAUAUUUAUUUUACACAGAGCAGCAGUAGAAUCCUAACUUUUUUUUCCCCCCACAAACAUGUAAAGAGAAUAUUAAUAGGGAAUAUUAACAGAGGUGAGUGCAGCAUGAAGCUAGUUAGGUUGUAGUAGCUGAGAAAUAUGAACUAGUGAACAUAAUCCAUAAACUCCAUUUGGUUACUAUAAUACUCCAAUCUGUAUUUAUUACAACCCCACUCUGAUGCUUAUACAACUGCAAUUGCUAGAUUUAUACACACUAAUGAUUUCACAAUAGGAAAAACCUGUGUCUUUAUCUUUCUUUUCCUGUCCAAAAUAACCCCUUCCACAUAUACUUCAGGCUUCUCCGGACCUUGUCUGGGUUUAAUCACAGGCUUUGGGACAAAAUGUGCAUUAUUAAGAAGUAUAAAUAUUUUCAGAAGCAAUCAAAGGGUUGAAAGAUUGAUUCGGCAUGUAGAUUGGAUUUAAUUCGAAGCAGCUUUGUUCUAAUGAGGACUACUGGGAUACAAAGACGGCAGCCGCUUAUGGCCACCAGUUGGGAACUCCGACUCGCUGCAGCAACCUGUCAAGAAUUCCAAGAAACUGCCAGGGUAAAAUUGCCUGCAGGGUACGUUUGCUGAAGCCUGUUAAUUCCUCCUGAGGUCAGCGGGUACCGGGUGCUGGGCAGCACAGCCUCUCCUGGCCGGGCACGGUGGUCGCGUGGGCUCCGGCUGCUUCCCAAGAGACAGGGACAGUAAUGAAGAACGUGGGAUUUCCCACAGGAAUUUGGAAGAUGCCCAUGUCUAAGACAAUGGUGAGGAUUGGGCCACAAUCCAGAUGCAGCCUUGAUUCCUUCAUCCAAGUAACCCUGUGCUGACCCACGGCUGCUGAUGGAUCGCAGCGACGUGGACCUUCCUCCCUCCCUCCUCGCUGCCCUGCAUCAGAUCACCAGGAGGACCUGAGAGUACUAGAUGAACCAUCACAAGGCCCUGAUUGGAAAGCCUGGGGACCAAGCACUCAGGGAGGUGGCUGAUGCAGCUGGUUCCCUAGCCCUGGGCUGUGGCUCAGCUCUUGGUCAUGGCACAAGCCACCAGAGGCCAGAGGUGGGGACUGUUUCUGUCUUGGCUACUCCUCAUCAGUGCUUUCAGCUGCAGGAAGCCCUGAGAAACAAGGAAACAUGAGUGCACCACCAGGGAUUUGCUCUUCUCUACACAUGAAGCACAGCACAAAGUUCCACCCUUUGCUUCUGCAGCAAGUUCUUGUUACCCAAUUCCUGCUGACAGCAGAGGAAGAGGCACAAGUCAGCUCAGAAAAUGAACAAUUGGAAGGUGAGUGAAAAGAAUAGUAAACACAGGCCAUUCAUGUAACAGGAUCCAAUUCAUUUUUAUGCCAGGGAGAUUUUUUAAAUGGGACUUCUCCCAGUGGAGAGAUCACCAUGCUCAAGGCCUGUUUCACUAUAAAGACAAUACAUAAUUAUUCUGGGCUUAUUAUUAUUUUUUAUCACUCUUUUUCCAGUUGCAGGGAGUGAGGGCAGAGAUGAGAUCAGGACCCAGUUUAUUGUGCAGCACACAGGGUUGCAGAAUUCUGUGGAGGCAGGUAAAGUCACCCAGGCUGAAGGUUCACGUGACAGGUCUGAGAUGGGAGAAUCCAUCAACAACAAAAAUGGGAACUCAGCCUCCUGAGCUCCUCAGUUCUGGGCUCCUGCUUCUUGUUGCUUUCAGCAUCUUUUCCUUCCACACUUAUUUUGAAUCACUGAAAUGAUGAAUUGAAAAAAUGUCAUGUCAUUUGAAGCACUCUUUAUUGUAUUUAUAGGAAACAGAUUAUCUGUUCUCUGAGGACAGUGGAAACCCAGUAGGAUGAGCUCAUCUGGAGAAAAUGUAGGUUGGGUGUGACAGAGAAACUUGUGUUUUAUACUGCAGUGACAUCUUAAUUUCUGGUUUUGGUAUGACAGACUCAGUGAUACUGAACCAUCCUGGUUCCUGCUUGCAGGCUGGGAUCAUGAGUUGGGCUUGGAAGAAGAAACUUCUAUGUGGAGAUGUGACUGCAGUGUCAAUACUGUGCCAGGGUAAGAGAAUUUUUGUUUAAUUCAGGGUGUAUACAAUAUAUAAAGUCCAUACAAAGUCUGUUGUUCAUCCCAGCCUAGUUAAGCUGCAUUUGACCAUUACUUGUUCAACCCAGUAAAGAGUACCUGGAUACCACAGCAACACCUGCUCUAUUUAUAUAUUAAGAUUAUUUUGCCAGGUCAGCCCUUUAGGAUUUAACAUUUAAUUCAUAAAGGAUUCUAUAACACAUGCCCAGUUGAGCUCUCUCUCUACUUCCUGAUGAUUUGGGUGAUUUUCUCUAGCCAAUUUAUAUUUUAAUUAGUUGUAACACUUUACUUUCUAAUUUGAACAACCGAGACUUAAAAAAAUAAAAAAAAAGCUAAAAAAUAACUCUCAAAGUCUGAAUGGAUACUCAUUAUAAUUUUCUGUUCAGUAUUUGUGGGUCCUGGGUUAUCUUAGGUGAUAUUUUCAUGUUGACAGCUCUGUGUUAGUUCUGCUCAGACAGAAGGUAGUGACAAUGGAUCAUGCGUUAGAGGUUUCUUUACAGAUGAAACCUAGAGUGUCCUAAAAUCCAGUAACUACUCAAUACCAGCAACUUCCACACCCCUCUGUGCUCCUACCAUUGCUUUGCACCAAUUUAUUUAUUCGUUUGGGCUUUAAGUACUCGGACACAUUCCUUCUUGCUGCAACAGCAGGGGUACAGGAAGGGGUGUUUGAAACCACGCAGUCAAUUCCUCCCUGGAUUUCAGGAGGAGUUAUUCUUGUCUCAGAGAUGACGCAUUCAAAUAUCCCUCUAUGGAUUCCAGGUGAGUUAGUCACAUUUAGAUGCUUCCAAGUAAUACACAGAAAGGUGGUGAGAAAAUGAUGAGUCUCUGCCUAGUCACAAAAAGGAAAGAGCUCAGAAAAGUAGAUCUGAGCAAAUUAUAUGUACUAACCCUCAAAAUAUUCUAAAAAGACCUGGGGCCAAAGGGCUAUUACCUUAAAAACAGUAGGGAGGCAUAGUAUUUACUUUACUGACUGACCCAUCAGCUGCUCUCUGUCCCCAGAAACAGUUCAGGAAAUAACUGGAAGUAUCUGAAGAUGUAAAAAGGAUAAUUAAGUUUCAUUGUGGAAAUAAGAGGGUAAUCUGUCCAGACAAAUCUAGGACCUAGUACUGAAAGCUGGAGUAUCUGAAUAUAAAAAAUGAGUAAUUUUGAAAAAAGAUGUCUAUCAGGACUGUAAAUUCAGAGAGUAAAAAGUAGCUUUGCUUAAUAGACCAUCUCUCUCUCCAUCUCCCUCUAACUCAUUUUCUUAUUCUCUUUCUUCCUUAUGUGUUAUUGCAAAAAAAAAAGUGCAAAAUCUGAUAUUGAGAAUGCUUUAGCUUCAUUUCCACCUUCUAUUCUCAAAAUGUUUUGUUCCACUGGGAAGAUUUCCCCUGGGAGAUAACCUCAGCCACGACUGCAGGAGGCUCCUGGGGUGACUGAUUUGCAAGGGAGCAGCUGCAUUUUGAGGUGGCUCUGAGGCAGCCAGGUCCCCACUCUUCUGAGGCUCUUAAAGAUAUUUGUGAGCUGGCAUGAGAAAUCACCUGGGACUCAGAGCAGACCACAAGUGCUUAGGACAGUGUUUCCUCUGCACCUUUUCUUGCUGAGCAGAGCUGCAGCACUAUAAACAAAUGUGAGUUUUGCCUCAUUCUCAGGUCCUGUGAGUUAUGAAAGCCCACUCCAGAUGUAAUGAAUGUAUAGAUCAUUUUGACCAGAUCAUAAUCUAUUAGUAAAUAAUGCUCUCUGAAAAUGUAUAGGUGAAAUAAAGAACUUCUUGCUACUAUUGCUGUAUUGGUGUCAAGGAUUCAUGUGGAGACCAGCAUGAUCCUCAGGCUUUGUGCUACUGACAUUUAAAUACAAUGCAGAACUAACUACAGGGUUUGGCUAGUAAAUUCCCUUCUGGAUUAGGAUAUUCAGAAUUUACAGGAAUUUAUAAUAACUCAGGAUUUCUGCUGGAAACAGAACCCAAAAUUAUACAAGGCUUACCUAUGCCUUGGCUGCAGCUCAUUGACACUCAUAUUUAUAGAAUUUUUCCAUUAGAUUCCUAAUUUUGGUGGUGAUAUUAAUUAGCAAAUAACACAAUACAUUUCAUAAUGAGCAGAUAGGGCAAACCCCUAUAAUGCCUAUGACUUUUCUUUGCUAUCCCUGGAGGAAGCCCAAGGGUACCAGACUAAGACCUAAGGCAAAUUGUCAGCAGAGUCUAUAGGCCAUGGGAAGGUUAGGUUUAAAGAAGAUGUCACUUUAGGGACAUCUGUGUGACACAUGCUGCAGUGUCCAGACAUUGGAGACUAUGUUUUUGCUCUAAAUCUAGAGAGGAAGUCAAUAGGAAAAAAAAAAAAGGAAAGAAGCACGGGGGAAUAAAAGUACUUUUGAAAGAGAAGAAAUCUACAUUUCAAUGAAAAUCCUUUCAAGGCAUUUCAAAUAAGAGUCUGAGAGAAAUAAUUACAAAGUUUGGAGAGAAAGAACGUUAGCUUUGAUAUCUUUUUCUUCUAUGAAGCAAUUAAAAUAAGCAAUUUUUCAAAUACUAAGCAGAAAAUUACUAAUGGCUGAACCCAAAAGCUUUCAUUUCCUUCUUGGGGCCUUUAUUCUUCUAAAAAAAGACAAAAAAAAUGUGAAGGUGGUUUUCCAGAUAGAUUAAUGCAUAAAGCAGUCACUAGUUGGAUGUCAUAAAAACUACAGCAGCAUAGAAUAGCUGAGAUUAAGAGCUAGAUUUAAAUCAUGCAACAGUCCAGUUAAUAUCAAUGUCUAAUUAAGAAAUGCAUAAGAAGUCUGUAAUGUUGAUUUGAUGGAGAAAAACUCUAAUAGGGUUUCUUUUGGAAUUUUCCAUUUCAAUUGCUGUGUGGACUUUUAAUGGAUGUCCUAUCCAGUCUUUGGUAUUAGCAGGAAUCAUCCUCAAAUUAAAACCAAGGCCUAAAAUGGAACACAGGUAGACAAAUUAGCUGGUCUGGGAAGCAGCCUGGGUAGAAUGACAAUGUGAGAUGAAGCCGAAAUUUGAGUACAAACAAAAGAGAGCAAACGUCUCAAAUCUGGUGUGGAAACCCUCUCUGCAUCUCGUUUGAAACACUCUAAAACCCUGUAAUUUGAAACAAUGCAAUGUUAACCCAUUUCCCCACCUCCCUGAGCCUGCAGAAAUCCCUGACAAUUCAUACUUAGACACCUAGACCACUAAGCAUUAUUAAUUAGUCUUUUUUAUUUAAAAGGCUUUCCACAGUUAUGCAUAUUAGUAGUGUGUAGAGGUGGGUUCUUCUCUGCCUGUGAUGGGAUUUAGAGCACACAGGUCCCUGUCACCAUCAACGAGCACCAUUAAUCUCCCACUCCUCUCUGGGUAACUAAAUCUCUCAAACCCCUGGAGCAAAACUAAGCCUGUGGCGUCUUCUGUGUCCCAUGGAUCAUCCAAGAUGUUUGGUCUCUAGAUAUGAAAGGGGAACUGGUUUUGAGCACAUGACUAAUGCCCUGAAGUUGCUAAAAGAGGAGCAGUGUAACUCUUGGUAUGCAAAAGUCCACUUAGCAAAGAGGGAGAAAGCACAGUGCUGGGUUUAAGCAGCAGUGCAUUUGUUAUCAGCACUCUGUUGUUGAUCCAACAGAUCCAGAGGGAAUGAUCUCAAGGAUCCAGGAAAAUGGCAUACUCAGAAUAACCUCUCUGACCAAUGCAUGCUGGGGAGUAAUUUUAAAGUUCACUGGAACACAUUAAAAUAUAAUACAUUGGUCAUGGCAAAGCAAGGCAUGUGAUUCCAUCUGUCUACAUGUCUCUUUCCAGUACUAAAUCCAUCCAGAGACCUUCCAGAAUUAUAUCAUUAAGUCUUGUCACGUCCACAGAGAGUGGAAAAGACUGGAGAUGAAAAUCAGAGUAACAGUGAAAUUUUGGCACUUUUAUUUUUGGGUCAUUUCCUGAAAUGUCAUGGUCCAAAUUCAUGCCUGACAUUAUUCUGUUGACCCAUGAGGCACAAAUAUGUCAUAUUAAAGGGUGAUACCAUGGCCCUGGGGGGUGCCCCUAGGAUUUUCCUCCUUGAAAGAGGUGGGACCAAGGAUGCUCUUAGUGGGGCAUCUGACUUCUCAAUGGUACAGAAGGUCUGAUAUGAGGACACUCAGGCCAUCAGGGGAGUCUGGGUUUUUUUACCCUUCUCUUCAUAAUAAGACCAGGAGGUGCCAUGGGUUGGGAUGAUGCUAGAGGAUUGUCCAGGUGGAAUUCUAACAGGGUGCUUUGUCUGCAGCAUUUAUUAGACUUAUGCAAUACUUAGGGAAAGAACGAGAGUAUGAAGCAGGCUGUCCUUUGCAAAUACAUGCAAAAGAAAAAAAACCCAAACCUUAACUUGUCCAGCACACUUGAGAGCCACAAAUUUUGUUACAGUUUUGCUAAAUGAGAGGAAUAUUCCUCCCCUUCUCUAUAAAACCAUCCUUUUAGACAUUACUGCAGCCAUGACCUCACCGCAGUUCCUGGAUUCCUUCUGAAAAGAUUAAAAUGAACUAAUACACAAAUGAUCUCAUCACAGCGUAAAGGACACCUUACACAGGGGGGAAAAACUAAUCAGGAGAACUUCAGCACUACAUUUGUAGUAGAAAAAGAACUGUAACAGCACUGUGGAGAAACAAACUAAAGGUACAAUGCCAGAGAGGCAUUUUCCCAUCUAAUGAACCAUUUGGAUUUGUCCUACCUCAUCCUGCCUGUCACACCUGUCAUCCUCUUAGCUGUCUCCACAUCUAUCAUCUUUCCUUUUUUCCUGCCUUUAUCUACAAUUUCCUUUGUCUCUUCUGUGCCUUUCCCACCUGUUUUAAUAUUCCUGGUAACUUUGAAUUGUGUGCACUACUAUUCUCAGCUACAUCCAAAAUACAUUUUGCAGAGUACAUACAUACAGUCACCUUACACAAAAGUGUUCACACAUACUUAUAGUUUAUGUCAUUCUGGAUUAAGAACACCUUUUCUAUGUUUUCAUACAGUUCUCAGCCCAAGGGGUCAUGGAUGGUGACAACUCUCAUCUACUUUGGAGCUGUUUUAUCUUCUAAGAGAAAUCAGGAAGAUGAGUUGGGAGAGAUGCUUUACUUUCUUUGGUAGGACAAUCUAUAAAUUAACAUUUAUGUAAGUGAGACUCUCACCACAUUUUUAAAGUUGUGUCACAUUUUGAGGCUAGAAAAUAUAAUGUCUUGGAACUAGGUGAUCUUGAAAGUCUUUUUCAACCCAAGCUUUCCUAUGAUUCCACGAUCUUCAGAACAAGAUGAAUAUAUUGUUAAUAAUGCAGCCUUAUCUGUCCUGCCCAUAGGUGCUCCUCAGCUCUCCCUUGAGGUGACACCGUUAAGCAAGAGGUGACAAACCGGUUCCUUUCUCAAGGAAGUGUCACCUAACUGCCCGGGGCCUGUUUUGGUGGGGGUUGCACCCUGAUUUUCAAGGAGAGAUGUGCUGCUGUGGCCCCUUCCCACCCUGGCAGGAGGAGCUGAAGCUGCUCAUUCAGUUGUGACAUUUCUCAGGCAGGAAGAAAGGCAGAAGGCAUCAGGCUGUAGGGAGGGAUCAGGGCAGCCACCUUUGGACACUGGCAAAGAAACCUCCAGAACUCAUCCAGAGGAGAUGAGCUCUCAGGACUAGAGCGUGCUGGUAAAAAGGAUGGUGGUACCUUUCUAUCCACCCAACAAGAUUUGCUACUCCUAAAUGGGGAAGCAAACACAUCCAACCCCAAAUGCUCUCCAGCUGAUAGACCUGCUUCAGUGAAGAGAGCCCUGAGCAGUGAUGAGUGUUGUAGGAUAUGUGCUGCAGCAUUAGGAAAGUCCAAACAGCCCAAGGAGCAGUGCAGAGCAUCUGUCAAGAAAAUAGCAUGUGAAAAGCUGCUGUAAUUCCUGUCCCCACCAGCCUAACUGGAGGCACAGACUUCCCAAGGCCUGGAGGACUUGGAGAGCUCAGGAUCCUCAGUGAGAUUCCUCCCCAAGCCCUGCAGAUUUACCAGGUCAGCUCAGUCCAGGCCAAAGUUGCUGGGAAAGGUCCUUGGCUGUACUCCAAGUUCAGUGCUCUAUUGAUUGGAAGAGGUAUUUAUUGUAGGUCAGGGUCUUGAGCCAAGACAGCUGAAGUUGCAAGGACUAAAUUGUCUAUUCCUGACCCACAGAUAAAACAAAUGGCCAGUUUUAGCCUAAUCAUCACUUCUGCCUGAGGAAAGAGAAACUCUUUGAGGUAAGUUCCCUUGGAUAUAAUUCUUUCUUUCUAGGUUGUAGAAGGGCUGCAGCUCAUACAUAUCCUGAGUCAUAAUGUGGAUUUGCACCUUUCCUGUUAAAUAUAGCUGGCUUAUGUCCAAAGGAUCCCUUCUCUCCCUAAUGCUCACUCAUAUUGUUACAACUUCUACAUUAGUUGCAGGUGUGAAAUGCCAACUGAUCCACACUUCUGGUGCUGUCAGCAGGGGAGUAAUGUGUGUCAAAGGCCUGCUUCUCAGAGGGGAGGUCACCCGGAUCUCCAUUUGCACAUCUGCUUUGCUAAACACAAAACUCUGGAGGUUUGGAAAGCUCCAGUGUGCACAAAGUGGGAUGUGAUCACUGGGGGCUGUACAGAAGGAGCUGCUCGUGCCUGUCAUUUAGUAGGCAGGACACAGAACUUUCCCUCUGUACAAAAUUCUUCCUGCAUUGCUACAGGUAACAUUUUACUUGUAAGUUCUAUAUUAAUAAGGGGGAAAAAAUACACUUCUCUGCAUUCCACAAGCAGACAGGAUACCAAGAGAUUAAAAAAGAGCCUCACACAUUAAGCAGCUUCAGAAAGAUGCUAAUAUUCAGCACGUUCCUGCUUGGAAUGUGCAGACAUGACGAUCAGGGAAGUGCCUGAUCAGAGCUGCUGGAGCCUGCCUUGCACAGAGGCAUCCUGGUCUGGUUCUGAGGGCUUCCAGAGGAGCUUUCAAAUGUUUCUAUUCCCUGCUGUUAGUGGAUUUUUUCCAUACCUUGGAAUAAGUCUUCUGAUGGUAAUGUGUUUGCAGUUGAUGCUGAGAUAAUAGUUCUUGCUCAGGGGACCUCUAAUACACAGUAUUUUAUGCUUUCUACAUUUUAUAUGAUAUCAAAAACUCCUCCUAUAUGUACAUAUAUGCCUAAUUCUUUCUUGAGUUCUGCUAGAAUCUAGAAUAUCCUCCAGUAUCUGCCAUAAGGAUGCUCACACAUAAUCUAUACAGAAUAUUUUUUGGUCUUAAUAUGUUUGGCCUUUAAAUGCCAUAUAUUUAUGACAUCAUGAUUCUGGUUACUCUGCACUUACAGGACAUUUUAAACACAUGCAUUCAUGGAUCAUUCACCAUUAUGCAUUGCAUUUUUUCCUCUCUCAGUUGACUAUUUCCAAAAUUUUUUGGGGGAUAGUGAAACUUAUAUUGGCCUUUUUAUCCAAAAUCAGAAAAUAGGGACUUGGUCAUCAGCUGUAUGCUGAUGUUCCAUGGUUAUAACAUCACAUUACAUGGAAUUUAGAUCUUGCAUCCUCACAGUAACUUAGCCAGAACUAAAGAAAAGUGAUUUCUAAAGUCCAAAUUAUACUGGGGAGAGCCAUGAGCUGAACAAAUAGGUCAGAGCAUGUUUCAUGAACUGAAAUGCCAGCCCUGAGCCUCGGCUGCUCAUAAUGGACAUGUCCUUAAGGGAGCUGAUGAGAAUAAUUUUCACAAGAAUCAGAAGAAAAUAAUUUUCACAAGAAUCACUUUUAAUGCUGAGGAAGGAGAGCACUUGUGUUUUAAAGAAAAGUUUGAUUCUGGCAGAGGGUCUCUGUUGGUGAGUUAGAGGAGCUGUGCUGUAGAAGACAGAGUGGCUGCUUGGCUCUCAUGGAAGCCUCUGUUGAAUUCAGGCCUUUCCCCUGAAAUUUACACCAGAAAUUCAGAAAUUUUAUCUUUGAUCAGAACAGCUUCAUUGCCUUCCUGAAUAAUAGGAAUGACAUGGGUUUCCCUGGGCUGUAUGUUAUGGACAUGACAGAAAUGGAGAAAGGGAUACUGAUUUUCUUGGAAUGAAAUACAGAAAAUUUGAGCUUGGAAAACAUUUGAGUAUAAUGUGCUGAGAGUUUAAAGAAAUAUUUUUAAAGAAACAUUUUUCUAGAGCAUGCCUGUUAGUUUUAUGUUCAUUUUAGCCAUGUAUAAUUAUGAGAAACACAGACAACUCAUAAGAUUUUUUAGUUUCUGUUGAGAAUUGCCUUUUCCAAGAUAAUUCUGUACACUAUUACUUCAGCCCACUGGGUAUCAUGUAGGGAAGGUGCAAGAUUAUGCACAUGAAUAUUUCUGUCUACCACUUAGGCGUGCUGAGACAAUAUCAACUUAUACUUUCUCCUGUCAUUGGUCCUUAUUCCAUAGAGGAUAUUCUUAAUUACCAGCAAGACAAUUUGGUAAUAUCAUGUAAAGUGUAACAGCAUAAUUUCUGUGAUGAUUUACACCUGCUAAGGAUCUGAAUACUGAAUUUUAAAACAUAGUUUAAGUUCAGAAGAAAGAGUAUUUUUUCUACAAGACACUAUUUCUAUUUUUAAUAGAAAUUAUCUCAUUUAUUUAAUUUAUUGGCACUGUUCUUCUGAAUGAAAUGGAGCUUUUGAACGUGAAGACACAAUUUUUACAUAUUUUCACUGCCCUGAAAAAUUUAGAGCACACUUCUGUACUGGAUUAAAUCAACUUGAGUCUAAAAGCCUAAACACUAUUUUUGACAACUGUGCAUGAGGGACGUGCCUGUACAGGGAUUCUAAAGAAUAAAAAACCUAAAAAUAUCUCAGUUACAAAGAAAAUUCCCUGUAUUCCUUCUUACACUUCGUAAUAGUGGUUAUAUAUAUAUAUCUUUUUUAACCCUCACAGGUUUAUCUCUAAUUCUGUUGGAAACGAUUGAAAUGAUUCCAUUGACUUUAGCAAACUCUGUUUCCUGCUGGAUUAAAGGCAAUAUUUGUGUAUCAGAUUUGCUGGUGAUGUCCCACUAAUGAAACAGGUAAUUUUAUAAACAUGUCAGGGAGGGUAAGUGCCCAAUAAAAAGAUGUCAGAUAGAGAUGCACAAAUUACACUCUAUUUGUAAUGGAAAUAAAACCAGGAAUUCUUACUGUGAGUCAUGAAUUUCUUUAUAAUUGCUUCCACAUUUGGGACAAUUUUUCCCUGGGUUGUCUACAGAAACCCUGCAAUUCUUGGGGCUUCUGAUGGCACUUAUGAUCACAACAACACAUCUAAUUUCUGAUAAAAAUUACUUACUUUGGGAAGGAUUGUUUUUUUCUCAAAUUGAUUUUCUGAGUCUUUAUCUACAACUAUUUUCUUAUCCUCCUCCUCAUUUUCUAUUUCUAAUACAAAAACAAGAGUCCUUAUCAAUUUAGAAGAGCAAUAAAACUAAAGAAAAUUCAGACAGAACUGUAAAGCACAGUCUAUUUUAAAGUUCCAACUCAAAUAAUAAGACUCUGGUUUGUACUGCACCUCACUCAUGGACUCAGUUUUCCAUAGUGCAUUCAGUGUUGUAAUAAUGCAAAUCAAAUACAAUUUUAAUAACUCCUUCCAUUAAUGUUUUAAGACUGCAACACUUAUGAGCAUGAUUCUAAUUGCAUGAUUUUGCUACAGGCAAGUUUUAUAGAUCUGUCUGAUCUUUGGAUAUUUGCACCGUUUGGAUUAUUUUAAAUAAUUAAUUUUUGGAAGAAUUUCAGUCUCGGUAACAACAGUUGGGUUUGAUAGUGGUUGUCUUGUCAGUAAUUGUAUGUAUCUGCUUCCAUGCCAGGAUAAACUAGAUAAAUUUAGAACUCUUUGGGAGGAGGGGGCUGAGGUUUAUACCAUAGCAAAUGUUAUGGAGAAUGUUCUUAGGAGGGGAAUAUUUAUAGACUAUGUUAAUACCAGGAGCAAAAGAGGUUUCAAGUGAAUAAAAUUUUGUCAUGCAGCAAAAUUAGUUAAUUAAAUUGCAGGACUUUCUGCCAAAAGAAUACCAAAAACAUAAUCAACUUAAAAUACCAUUAAACAUUUUUUUUUAAUGC